GGCUCAGGAUAAACGCUAGCUACAGGCUUAACACAUGCAAGUCGAGGGGCAGCAUGAACUUAGCUUGCUAAGUUGAUGGCGACCGGCGCACGGGUGAGUAACACGUAUCCAACCUGCCGAUGACUCGGGGAUAGCCUUUCGAAAGAAAGAUUAAUACCCGAUGGCAUAGUUCUUCCGCAUGGUAGAACUAUUAAAGAUUUAUCGGUGAUGGAUGGGGAUGCGUCUGAUUAGCUUGUUGGCGGGGUAACGGCCCACCAAGGCGACGAUCAGUAGGGGUUCUGAGAGGAAGGUCCCCCACAUUGGAACUGAGACACGGUCCAAACUCCUACGGGAGGCAGCAGUGAGGAAUAUUGGUCAAUGGACGAGAGUCUGAACCAGCCAAGUAGCGUGCAGGAUGACGGCCCUAUGGGUUGUAAACUGCUUUUAUAAGGGAAUAAAGUGAGUCUCGUGAGGCUUUUGCAUGUACCUUAUGAAUAAGGACCGGCUAAUUCCGUG
Molecule: ribosomal RNA, 495 nt
Filed under: uncultured bacterium
Lineage: Bacteria
Description: bacterial SSU rRNA
Rfam family: Bacterial small subunit ribosomal RNA
Source: RNAcentral